Molecule: ribosomal RNA, 452 nt
Filed under: uncultured Streptococcus sp.
Lineage: Bacteria; Bacillati; Bacillota; Bacilli; Lactobacillales; Streptococcaceae
Description: bacterial SSU rRNA
Rfam family: Bacterial small subunit ribosomal RNA
Source: RNAcentral
CAAGCGUGGAGCAUGUGGUUUAAUUCGAAGCAACGCGAAGAACCUUACCAGGUCUUGACAUCCCGAUGCUAUUUCUAGAGAUGAAAGUUACUUCGGUACAUCGGUGACAGGUGAUGCAUGGUUGUCGUCAGCUCGUGUCGUGAGAUGUUGGGUUAAGUCCCGCAACGAGCGCAACCCCUAUUGUUAGUUGCCAUCAUUCAGUUGGGCACUCUAGCGAGACUGCCGGUAAUAAACCGGAGGAAGGUGGGAUGACGUCAAAUCAUCAUGCCCCUUAUGACCUGGGCUACACACGUGCUACAAUGGUUGGUACAACGAGUUGCGAGUCGGUGACGGCGAGCUAAUCUCUUAAAGCCAAUCUCAGUUCGGAUUGUAGGCUGCAACUCGCCUACAUGAAGUCGGAAUCGCUAGUAAUCGCGGAUCAGCACGCCGCGGUGAAUACGUUCCCGGGCCUU